UACGAAGGGGGCUAGCGUUGCUCGGAAUCACUGGGCGUAAAGCGCACGUAGGCGGAUUGUUAAGUCGGGGGUGAAAUCCUGGAGCUCAACUCCAGAACUGCCUUUGAUACUGGCGAUCUUGAGUCCGGGAGAGGUGAGUGGAACUGCGAGUGUAGAGGUGAAAUGCGUAGAUAUCAGGAGGAACACCGGUGGCGAAGGCGGCUCUCUGGACGGUGACUGACGCUGAGACGCGAAAGCGUGGGGAGCAAACAGG
RNAcentral lists this ribosomal RNA (253 nucleotides) under uncultured bacterium. RNAcentral's name for it is "partial 16S ribosomal RNA". It matches the Rfam family "Bacterial small subunit ribosomal RNA", at positions 524 to 776 of the family's 1533-position model. The record is from RNAcentral.